CUCGGUAGUCGCUGCGCAGGCACUUUGGUGACUCUAGAUAACCUCGGCCCGAUCGCACGUCCCCGUGACGGCGACAAUGCAUUCGGAUGUCUGCCCUAUCAACUUUCGAUGUUACUUUCUGCGCCUACCAUGAUGACGACGGGUAACGGGGAAUCAGGGUUCGAUUCCGGAGAGGGAGCCUGAGAAACGGCUACCACAUCCAAAGAAGGCAGCAGACGCACAAAUUACCCACUCCCAACGCGGGGAGGUAGUGAAG
Pelobates cultripes (western spadefoot toad) is the source of this 256-nucleotide non-coding RNA. The record is from the annotation of a GenBank genome assembly. NCBI's taxonomy places the organism in Eukaryota, Metazoa, Chordata, Amphibia, Anura, Pelobatidae.